AAGUCGUAACAAGGUUUCCGUAGGUGAACCUGCGGAAGGAUCAUUAUCACGUAUCCACGUAUCAACCAUUGCGAACCGUAUUAACCUCUGUGGUGAUGGCGCUAUAAACGCAUAACAGUUGUUGUGAUUGACUGUUGUUUGUAGCAUUAAGCUGUCGCUGCAGAGCGUAUUUUUAAUCACUAUUACAUUAACCAUUUUAACCCAACCUUUAUAACUUUAUGAACUAACUUAUUUUAUACUCUUCGGAGAUAAAAUUCAUUACGAAACAAAGAACAACUCUUAGCAACGGAUAUCUUGGUUCUCGUAACGAUGAAGAACCGCAGC
This 324-nucleotide unclassified non-coding RNA is filed under the name fungal sp. Its description in RNAcentral is "partial internal transcribed spacer region". The stretch from base 1 to 46 matches the Rfam family "Eukaryotic small subunit ribosomal RNA", at positions 1786 to 1831 of the family's 1831-position model. Lineage: Eukaryota; Fungi. The record is from RNAcentral.